RNAcentral lists this long non-coding RNA (873 nucleotides) under Physcomitrium patens. RNAcentral describes it as "long non-coding RNA (PPAT_LNC010657)". The record is from RNAcentral. Lineage: Eukaryota; Viridiplantae; Streptophyta; Bryopsida; Funariales; Funariaceae.
UCAUGUACUAAGUACCAAUUAUAACAAUUUAAUGUUUUUAUUACAUUUCCCAUUAAGGAAAAUAAAAUUUGUAAUGAAUUUUGCCAAUCUUAGGUUAAACAUGUGACAAGCACUUGUUGCAUUUGGAAUGUCAAUGGAAUAAAUUACACAAACUUUAACAGCCAUGCUAUUUACUUCAAACUGUUACAUUUCUUGUGCACGUAUUUUGUGUCUAUAUGAUUCUGUAGUUUGAAUUUGUGAUCAAGUCAAUGCCAAAUUCAAACUAUAGAAUCAAUGUUUAUAAUCUGUUGCUGUGAAAUGGUAUACAUUUGUAGAAUCUAUUGAAGAAUAUGUUUUUGUAAACAUAUGCUAUUCAUGUAAUGACAAAGUAUUCCCAACCUUCAACCUCAAUUUAACAAUUUUAAAAUUAUAAUUGGUACUGAAGGAUGAUGCAAAUCUAAGGAUCUUAGCAAUGUUAGCUUCUGAAUUGUUUUGGAGUUGAACCAACAUUGACAUGUUCAUAAAUCAAUCAAACACCAGGCAAAUUGUAUUUUUUUUCCCGUAGAAUUGUAGUUAUUGGAAUGUAUUCACAAAACAAUCCCUAAAAACACAUUUUUACUGUCAACACAGAACUGCAACUGUCUUGUGAUGCAGUUUGCUGUUAUUCAAAUAAACAGAAAUUUUGUACAUGUAUAUUGUAGAGUAGCAAGUCUCAUGGGCAAAAGUGUGAAGAGGGGAUUUUAAAUUGCAUGGGGGAGGGGGUUGGAGCUGGCCAAACUGUGAGGCCAUAUCCCUAUCUCCUUGCAUGCUCUACACUGUCCCUUUUUUGCCUUGGUGCUUUACAUGACAAGGAGCUUCCAUUUUAAAACUCAAAUUAUACUUACAUAUAUAUAU